UACGUAGGGUGCGAGCGUUGUCCGGAAUUAUUGGGCGUAAAGGGCGCGUAGGCGGCCUGGCAAGUGGAUGGUGAAAUCCCUCGGCUUAACCGAGGAACUGCCAUCCAGACUGCUUGGCUUGAGACCGGGAGAGGUGAGUGGAAUUCCCAGUGUAGCGGUGAAAUGCGUAGAUAUUGGGAGGAACACCAGUGGCGAAGGCGGCUCACUGGACCGGUACUGACGCUGAUGCGCGAAAGCGUGGGGAGCAAACGGG
RNAcentral lists this ribosomal RNA (253 nucleotides) under uncultured bacterium. Its description in RNAcentral is "partial 16S ribosomal RNA". It matches the Rfam family "Bacterial small subunit ribosomal RNA", at positions 524 to 776 of the family's 1533-position model. The record is from RNAcentral.